UGGGGAAUAUUGCACAAUGGGCGAAAGCCUGAUGCAGCAACGCCGCGUGCGGGAUGACGGCCUUCGGGUUGUAAACCGCUUUCAGCAGGGACGAAGGUUUUCUGACGGUACCUGCAGAAGAAGCACCGGCUAACUACGUGCCAGCAGCCGCGGUGAUACGUAGGGUGCGAGCGUUGUCCGGAAUUAUUGGGCGUAAAGAGCUUGUAGGCGGUCCGUUGCGUCGGAAGUGAAAACUCAGGGCUUAACCCUGAGCCUGCUUUCGAUACGGGCGGACUUGAGGGAUGUAGGGGAGAACGGAAUUCCUGGUGGAGCGGUGGAAUGCGCAGAUAUCAGGAGGAACACCAGUGGCGAAGGCGGUUCUCUGGACAUUUCCUGACGCUGAGAAGCGAAAGCGUGGGGAGCAAACAGGCUUAGAUACCCUGGUAGUCCACGCCGUAAACGGUGGGCACUAGGUGUGGGACCCAUUUCCACGGGUUCCGUGCCGUAGCUAACGCAUUUAAGUGCCCCGCCUGGGGAGUACGGCCGCAAGGCUAAAACUCAAAGGAAUUGACGGGGUCAUAGCUGUUU
Molecule: ribosomal RNA, 567 nt
Filed under: uncultured bacterium
Lineage: Bacteria
Description: partial 16S ribosomal RNA
Rfam family: Bacterial small subunit ribosomal RNA
Source: RNAcentral